GUCCAGACUUGAUACAACUCUCUCCACCAUGGUCUCUGGUGUCCUCAGGUCCAGACUUGAUACAACUCUCUCCACCAUGGUCUCUGGUGUCCUCAGGUCCAGGCUCGAUACAACUCUCUCCACCAUGGUCUCUG
Molecule: long non-coding RNA, 134 nt
Organism: Oncorhynchus keta (chum salmon)
Lineage: Eukaryota; Metazoa; Chordata; Actinopteri; Salmoniformes; Salmonidae
Exons: 3
Source: RefSeq, a predicted model, not a curated record